RNAcentral lists this transfer RNA (60 nucleotides) under Allonychiurus kimi. Its description in RNAcentral is "tRNA-Ala". Lineage: Eukaryota; Metazoa; Arthropoda; Collembola; Poduromorpha; Onychiuridae. The record is from RNAcentral. RNAcentral also lists the same sequence under 1 other name.
AGGAAUGUAGUUAAUUAUAACAUUUGGUUUGCAUCCAAAAGGUACUAAGGUUAUUCUUUC